Non-coding RNA from Pelobates cultripes (western spadefoot toad), 248 nucleotides. Lineage: Eukaryota; Metazoa; Chordata; Amphibia; Anura; Pelobatidae. The record is from the annotation of a GenBank genome assembly.
CUCCUGUUUUGUGUCGGUCUGUCUCCGAGUCCACUUCCGGCUUCCAGAAGGCUACUAGAGACAGGUAAUUAACUCAUCCGGUGUGCCUUUUAAGGUGAACCUGUCGAUUGUCUAUCUGCCUCCUGUAUUUGUUUGAAUGUGAGUGUCGGCCGGAGUGUGUGUUUUCCCCCUUUUUAAAAGACGAUAGCUUGACUGCCUAGCGGGCAGGGAACGCAUUACAGCCGGUGGGGCUGGGAUUUUACAGCCGG